GCCCUAUUAAGCGGUGGGAGGUCCAUUUCUCCGGUGGUUGCCGGCGUGAUACUUCGAAGCCAAUGACAGCGUGCAAGGCGCAGAGGCCAGGCGACGCAUGCGUCCAUUUGUGCAGCAGCGGCGGCUGCAUCCUUCCGCACGCCGCCCCGAGAGACGGCGGCGUUCCAGCCAUGGCAUGCACGCACGGUGGCGGCCGUGCGGCCCCGAACACUGGCAUCAUUUAAGUGAGCCCAACAUCUCUUCUUUUCUUAAACUUCAUGCAUUAGGGUUCUGAUUUGGGAUUUCAUAAAUGGGGAAAAGAUUAUAGGGUUCCAGAAUUGGGGAUUCUCUAGGGUUUGGCGGAAUUGGUAUGUUGGUUUGUUUUCUUUAAUUUCGCCGAUUCAUCACGUUCUAAUGGCACCAAUAGGAGCUUAAAUCAGUGCUAAUCAACAUAUCUUAAUGAGGAAGUGUGGAAGAAUUAAACUAACAGAACAUGAUUGGUCAUAAUCAUUGGAUAAUUAGCACUGACCCAUGGCCAAUUAUACUUUAAGCAAAACCUCUUAACCCAAGAGAUUAAUCUUGACUUCAACAGAGGGCAAUUUGAAAAAACAUUAAUCAUUAACCUUUAACAGUGAUGAUCUGGACUUACUUAAGCACACUAACAUAAACAAAACAUCAUUAGGGAUCUAAUCUAGGCAUAUUAUGGCUCAAGAUACCAUUGUUAGACUUAAUCCAGUAGGAUAGAUUGGAUCUUAUGCCUAGAAUGCAGAUCGCCUAAUUGCAUGAGAACAGAGGGGUUGAGUGAUCUUACCACCAAUGGAAGAAGCCAUUGGUGUAGGCGAUGCGAAGUCCCGUGCCUGCUCGAUGCAGGCGUGAUGCAGGCUUGGGGUAGACGUUAGCAGCGGGUAGCGGCGUCCCUCCGGGCGCCACCGGCACUGCCCUGGAACAAGGGCAGAGGUAGGAGAUGAUCUUCCCGUUGUGCAGCGCUCCCCCAGAUCGGUUAGGGUUUUGGGAUGUGGGGAGCAGGAGUAAACCUUACGAGAACUCGUCUAGCGUAGGUGUCGGCUGCUCCCCCAUCUUUUUAUGUGCGCUGGCGACAGGGGACCAAAACCAUAGUUGGUUAGGGUGCCCCCGAUCAGGGCGCGUUAGUUGAGAUCGAGGGGACGAACGUUGGUUCCUGACUACCCUGUUUCUCUUUUUAACGUAACUUAUUUCUAGUCGUUUAUUUUCGUUUUGGCCCAUUGGGCCUCUAGGUCAAUACCAACAGAUAGAGGGCAAGUCAACAUCGCGCCACAAUGUUUCUCUCUUUAAUGUAACUUAUUUCUAGUCGUUUAUUUUCGUUUUGGCCCAUUGGGCCUCUAGAUCAAUACCAUCAGAUAGAGGGCAAGUCAACAUCGCGCCACAAUGUGGAAGACGAAGGGAUCAAACCUUCCUGAUGGUGGAUAAGAGAAGAGGAGGGUUAUCUGCAAUACCAGAUUUGAGUUGUUGACUAUGAUCCCACCUGUGAUCUCAGUCAUUAUGUUCCUUACCGAACUGGUGGGGACUUUCCAAGUUUCCAUUGGUUGUUGGUUUUCACGAGAUACUUCACCUGGAAUCAAUGUAGUAGCUGGUAUGUGGGUCCAUAUAUAUUGUGCAUGUGGGUCUUCUCCCGACAAGAAUCGGGGUCUGUUGGGCAACACACACUAUUGUAGCUAUCAUAUCAAUUGGUCAUUGAUGGGAAAGGCCAACGGUAGUAGUAUAAAUCUGGAUGAGACGGGACGGAGAGAGUAUGCAAUAGAUUAGUAGUGGGGAAUAGGAGACACCGGGAAUAAGAGCAUGGGUCUUGUUUCACUUCAUAGGUCUCUGAUGUAUCCCUAGGACUAGGGAUAGUUUUAGAUUUGAAUCCAAACACACAAUGCACGUUAGGCUUCAUUGGCAGUAGGUGCGGUAGGUGAAUUUGAAGGGAACAAACUCCUCCGCAUGUUGCGUUGAAGAAUGUAGUCACGUAAUUAAUUAACGUGCAUGUAACUUUUCAUAUACUAGCUGUUAUGUCGCUGACUCCCAAAAAGCCCGGCUCAAAUUAAUCUCUGCAGACCGAAGCAAAUUUCAAGGGGUGCGCUGAUGAGAUCAGGCCCCGUGGCCGCGCUUGUAUCAUGGUGGCAACUCCACAACAGUAGAAGCUAGUUAGAAAUAUGCCAUGCUUGCUUACUGAGCAGGUGGCUGAGCAGUGGACCUCGGCAGUCGUGGGCAACCACCAUGACGAAACUAUACCAGAUUGAAUUAUAGUUGUAUCAAAUGGCCAGUAGGACCAAGUAUUGUAGGUCAUGCGAUUCGGCGUUAGAUUUGUAAAAAUUUAAGCUACCACCGUCCUCUGCUCAUGUUGAAUGGUAUAUUUUUGUUAUUCUGCUUUUUUUUUAUUUCUACUUUGUUUUUCUGAAUCCGGGAAAUUAAAGAGACAUCCAAGAUCCAUUGAGUCUCUCUUUCGAUAGAUGUCACAUGUGACUUUAAUCUUAUGUUUUUCUUUUGGU
This 2486-nucleotide long non-coding RNA is filed under the name Triticum aestivum (bread wheat). RNAcentral's name for it is "long non-coding RNA (TAES_LNC002237)". Lineage: Eukaryota; Viridiplantae; Streptophyta; Magnoliopsida; Poales; Poaceae. The record is from RNAcentral.